CAAUAGCGUAUAUUAAAGUUGUUGCGGUUAAAAAGCUCGUAGUCGGAUUUCGGGUCGGGCCGAGCGGUCUGCCGAUGGGUAUGCACUGUUUGGCGCGGCCUUCUUUCCGGAGACCGCGGCUACUCUUAACUGAGCGGGCGUGGGAGACGGAUCGUUUACUUUGAAAAAAUUAGAGUGUUUAAAGCAGGCUUUUGCUAUGAAUACAUUAGCAUGGAAUAAUAAUCUAGGACUUCGGUGCUAUUUUGUUUGGUUUUCUUGGAACUGAAGUAAUGAUUGAUAGGGAUAGUUGGGGGUGGCUAGUAUUGAGCGGCCAGAGGUGAAAUUACUUGGAUUCGCUCAAGACUAACUUAUGCGAAAGCAUUCACCAAGGAUGUCUUCUUUAAUUCAAGAACGAAAGUUGGGGGAGUCGAAGACGAUUAGAUACCGU
RNAcentral lists this ribosomal RNA (427 nucleotides) under uncultured eukaryote. RNAcentral describes it as "bacterial SSU rRNA". It matches the Rfam family "Eukaryotic small subunit ribosomal RNA", at positions 592 to 1018 of the family's 1831-position model. The record is from RNAcentral.